ACCUGGUCUUGACAUCUCGGGAAUCAUUUGGAAACAUAUGAGUGCCUCGCAAGAGGAGCCCGAUGACAGGUGCUGCAUGGCUGUCGUCAGCUCGUGUCGUGAGAUGUUGGGUUAAGUCCCCGCAACGAGCGCAACCCUCGCCUUAGUUGCCAGCAUUAAGUUGGGCACUCUAAGGAGACUGCCGGUGUUUAAACCCGGAGGAAGGCGGGGAUGACGUCAAGUCCUCAUGGCCCUUAUGUCCAGGGCUACACACGUGCUACAAUGGCCGGUACAAAGGGUAGCAAGACCGCGAGGUGGAGACCAACCCCAAAAAGCCGGUCUCAGUUCGGAUUGGAGUCUGCAACUCGACUCCAUGAAGUUGGAAUCGCUAGUAAUCGUGGAUCAGCAUGCCACGGUGAAUACGUUCCCGGGCCUU
This 415-nucleotide ribosomal RNA is filed under the name uncultured Desulfuromonas sp. Its description in RNAcentral is "bacterial SSU rRNA". It matches the Rfam family "Bacterial small subunit ribosomal RNA", at positions 973 to 1382 of the family's 1533-position model. Lineage: Bacteria; Pseudomonadati; Thermodesulfobacteriota; Desulfuromonadia; Desulfuromonadales; Desulfuromonadaceae. The record is from RNAcentral.